CUGCCCGAUGGAGGGGGAUAACUACUGGAAACGGUAGCUAAUACCGCAUAACGUCGCAAGACCAAAGAGGGGGACCUUCGGGCCUCUUGCCAUCGGAUGUGCCCAGAUGGGAUUAGCUAGUAGGUGGGGUAACGGCUCACCUAGGCGACGAUCCCUAGCUGGUCUGAGAGGAUGACCAGCCACACUGGAACUGAGACACGGUCCAGACUCCUACGGGAGGCAGCAGUGGGGAAUAUUGCACAAUGGGCGCAAGCCUGAUGCAGCCAUGCCGCGUGUAUGAAGAAGGCCUUCGGGUUGUAAAGUACUUUCAGCGAGGAGGAAGGUGUUGUGGUUAAUAACCGCAGCAAUUGACGUUACUCGCAGAAGAAGCACCGGCUAACUCCGUGCCAGCAGCCGCGGUA
This 401-nucleotide ribosomal RNA is filed under the name Citrobacter sp. RNAcentral describes it as "bacterial SSU rRNA". It matches the Rfam family "Bacterial small subunit ribosomal RNA", at positions 126 to 522 of the family's 1533-position model. Lineage: Bacteria; Pseudomonadati; Pseudomonadota; Gammaproteobacteria; Enterobacterales; Enterobacteriaceae. The record is from RNAcentral.